AGCGAAGGGGCGGCAAGCAUGCUAGUCGAGCGGUAGCACAGAGAGCUUGCUCUCGGGUGACGAGCGGCGGACGGGUGAGUAAUGUCUGGGAAACUGCCUGAUGGAGGGGGAUAACUACUGGAAACGGUAGCUAAUACCGCAUAACGUCGCAAGACCAAAGUGGGGGACCUUCGGGCCUCAUGCCAUCAGAUGUGCCCAGAUGGGAUUAGCUAGUAGGUGGGGUAACGGCUCACCUAGGCGACGAUCCCUAGCUGGUCUGAGAGGAUGACCAGCCACACUGGAACUGAGACACGGUCCAGACUCCUACGGGAGGCAGCAGUGGGGAAUAUUGCACAAUGGGCGCAAGCCUGAUGCAGCCAUGCCGCGUGUGUGAAGAAGGCCUUCGGGUUGUAAAGCACUUUCAGCGGGGAGGAAGGCGAUAAGGUUAAUAACCUUGUUGAUUGACGUUACCCGCAGAAGAAGCACCGGCUAACUCCGUGCCAGCAGCCGCGGUAAUACGGAGGGUGCAAGCGUUAAUCGGAAUUACUGGGCGUAAAGCGCACGCAGGCGGUCUGUCAAGUCGGAUGUGAAAUCCCCGGGCUCAACCUGGGAACUGCAUUCGAAACUGGCAGGCUAGAGUCUUGUAGAGGGGGGUAGAAUUCCAGGUGUAGCGGUGAAAUGCGUAUAGAUCUGGAGGAAUACCGGUGGCGAAGGCGGCCCCCUGGACAAACACUGACGCUCAGGUGCGAAAGCGUGGUGAUGAAACGGGAUUAGAUACCCUGGUAGUCCACGCCGUAAACGAUGUCCAUUUGGAGGUUGUGCCCUUGAAGCUUGGCUUCCGAAACUAACACUUUAAAUCGACCGCCUGGAGAGUACUGCCCCAGGGGUAACACGCAAAUUAAUUUACCAGGUGGCCCCAACAGCCGGGGGAGGCUUUGCUUUAAUUCAAUUCCAAUCGAAGAAACCUUACCUGGGUUUAAACGUCCCCAGAACUUUCCGAAAAAUGGGUUUGGGGUCUUCCGGGAAGGAAAGAACAAUGGAUGGAGGUUUAUUCC
Molecule: ribosomal RNA, 1034 nt
Filed under: Klebsiella pneumoniae
Lineage: Bacteria; Pseudomonadati; Pseudomonadota; Gammaproteobacteria; Enterobacterales; Enterobacteriaceae
Description: bacterial SSU rRNA
Rfam family: Bacterial small subunit ribosomal RNA
Source: RNAcentral